AUUGAACGCUGGCGGCUGGCUUAACACAUGCAAGUCGAGCGGGAAUAGGUAGCUUGCUACUGAAUUCUAGCGGCGGACGGGUGAGUAAAGCUUAGGAAUCUGCCAUUUAGUGGGGGACAACAUUCCGAAAGGGAUGCUAAUACCGCAUACGUCCUACGGGAGAAAGCAGGGGAUCACUUGUGACCUUGCGCUAAAUGAUGAGCCUAAGUCGGAUUAGCUAGUUGGUGGGGUAAAGGCCUACCAAGGCGACGAUCUGUAGCGGGUCUGAGCGGAUGAUCCGCCACACUGGGACUGAGACACGGCCCAGACCCCUACGGGAGGUAGCAGUGGGGAAUAUUGGAAAAUGGGGGGAACCCUGAGCCAGCCAUGCCGCGUGUGUGAAGAAGCCCUUUUGGUUGUAAAGCACUUUAAGCGAGGAGGAGGCUACCUGGAUUAAUACUCUAGGAUAGUGGACGUUACUCGCAGAAUAAGCACCGGCUAACUCUGUGCCAGCAGCCGCCGUAA
Molecule: ribosomal RNA, 504 nt
Filed under: uncultured bacterium
Lineage: Bacteria
Description: partial 16S ribosomal RNA
Rfam family: Bacterial small subunit ribosomal RNA
Source: RNAcentral